UGUUGCUUCGGCGGGCCCGCCUUAACUGGCCGCCGGGGGGCUUACGCCCCCGGGCCCGCGCCCGCCGAAGACACCCUCGAACUCUGUCUGAAGAUUGUAGUCUGAGUGAAAAUAUAAAUUAUUUAAAACUUUCAACAACGGAUCUCUUGGUUCCGGCAUCGAUGAAGAACGCAGCGAAAUGCGAUACGUAAUGUGAAUUGCAAAUUCAGUGAAUCAUCGAGUCUUUGAACGCACAUUGCGCCCCCUGGUAUUCCGGGGGGCAUGCCUGUCCGAGCGUCAUUGCUGCCCUCAAGCACGGCUUGUGUGUUGGGCCCCGUCCUCCGAUCCCGGGGGACGGGCCCGAAAGGCAGCGGCGGCACCGCGUCCGGUCCUCGAGCGUAUGGGGCUUUGUCACCCGCUCUGUAGGCCCGGCCGGCGCUUGCCGAUCAACCCAAAUUUUUAUCCAGGUUGACCUCGGAUCAGGUAGGGAUACCCGCUGAACUUAAGCAUAUCAAUAAGCGGAGGAAAAGAAACCAACAGGGAUUGCCCCAGUAACGGCGAGUGAAGCGGCAAGAGCUCAAAUUUGAAAGCUGGCUCCUUCGGGGUCCGCAUUGUAAUUUGUAGAGGAUGCUUCGGGAGCGGUCCCCAUCUAAGUGCCCUGGAACGGGACGUCAUAGAGGGUGAGAAUCCCGUAUGGGAUGGGGUGUCCGCGCCCGUGUGAAGCUCCUUCGACGAGUCGAGUUGUUUGGGAAUGCAGCUCUAAAUGGGUGGUAAAUUUCAUCUAAAGCUAAAUAUUGGCCGGAGACCGAUAGCGCACAAGUAGAGUGAUCGAAAGAUGAAAAGCACUUUGAAAAGAGAGUUAAAAAGCACGUGAAAUUGUUGAAAGGGAAGCGCUUGCGACCAGACUCGCUCGCGGGGUUCAGCCGGCAUUCGUGCCGGUGUACUUCCCCGCGGGCGGGCCAGCGUCGGUU
RNAcentral lists this small RNA (950 nucleotides) under Penicillium chrysogenum. RNAcentral describes it as "eukaryotic LSU rRNA". The stretch from base 449 to 950 matches the Rfam family "Eukaryotic large subunit ribosomal RNA", at positions 1 to 507 of the family's 3401-position model. The record is from RNAcentral. Lineage: Eukaryota; Fungi; Ascomycota; Eurotiomycetes; Eurotiales; Aspergillaceae.